UGCUUUGUGGUGUAGUGGUCAGCACGUUCGACGUAUUCGAGAGGUCCGUGGUUCGAAUCCCGGCGAGGGUA
RNAcentral lists this transfer RNA (71 nucleotides) under Stegodyphus mimosarum. It matches the Rfam family "tRNA". From Rfam's summary of the family: Transfer RNA (tRNA) molecules are approximately 80 nucleotides in length. Their secondary structure includes four short double-helical elements and three loops (D, anti-codon, and T loops). Lineage: Eukaryota; Metazoa; Arthropoda; Arachnida; Araneae; Eresidae. The record is from Rfam by way of RNAcentral.